GAUGAACGCUGGCGGCGUGCCUAAUACAUGCAAGUCGAGCGAACAGACGAGGAGCUUGCUCCUCUGACGUUAGCGGCGGACGGGUGAGUAACACGUGGAUAACCUACCUAUAAGACUGGGAUAACUUCGGGAAACCGGAGCUAAUACCGGAUAAUAUAUUGAACCGCAUGGUUCAAUAGUGAAAGACGGUUUUGCUGUCACUUAUAGAUGGCUCCGCGCCGCAUUAGCUAGUUGGUAAGGUAACGGCUUAACAAGGCAACGAUGCGUAGCCGACCUGAGAGGGUGAUCGGCCACACUGGAACUGAGACACGGUCCAGACUCCUACGGGAGGCAGCAGUAGAGAAUCUUCCGCAAUGGGCGAAAGCCUGACGGAGCAACGCCGCGUGAGUGAUGAAGGUCUUCGGAUCGUAAAACUCUGUUAUUAGGGAAGAACAAAUGUGUAAGUAACUAUGCACGUCUUGACGGUACCUAAACAGAAAGCCACGGCUAACUACGUG
This 497-nucleotide ribosomal RNA is filed under the name uncultured bacterium. RNAcentral describes it as "partial 16S ribosomal RNA". It matches the Rfam family "Bacterial small subunit ribosomal RNA", at positions 28 to 507 of the family's 1533-position model. The record is from RNAcentral.